RNAcentral lists this ribosomal RNA (253 nucleotides) under uncultured bacterium. RNAcentral describes it as "partial 16S ribosomal RNA". It matches the Rfam family "Bacterial small subunit ribosomal RNA", at positions 524 to 776 of the family's 1533-position model. The record is from RNAcentral.
UACGGGGGGGGCAAGCGUUGUCCGGAAUCAUUGGGCGUAAAGCGCGUGUAGGCGGCCCGGUAAGUCCGCUGUGAAAGUCGGGGGCUCAACCCUCGAAUGCCGGUGGAUACUGUCGGGCUAGAGUACGGAAGAGGCGAGUGGAAUUCCUGGUGUAGCGGUGAAAUGCGCAGAUAUCAGGAGGAACACCAAUUGCGAAGGCAGCUCGCUGGGACGUUACUGACGCUGAGACGCGAAAGCGUGGGGAGCAAACAGG